RNAcentral lists this long non-coding RNA (1033 nucleotides) under Brassica napus (rape). RNAcentral's name for it is "long non-coding RNA (BNAP_LNC025469)". Lineage: Eukaryota; Viridiplantae; Streptophyta; Magnoliopsida; Brassicales; Brassicaceae. The record is from RNAcentral.
UGUGUGUGUGUGUGUGACCUGCUGCUCUCUUCUUACUCGCUUUCUUCUCCAGCAUUGCCAUGGAAGCUCCGUCUCUUACUCUUAACCUCCUCCUCAUCAUCAUUGUCUCUUUUCUCUUCAUUUCACUUCCGAGAUCUGAACCUCUCCCCGAAAACCCAUCCUUUGUUCUUCUUGGCGACGGAUUCGAACGGCCGACCUCUCACGGCGACACAUUCGACAUAGAAAGCUUUGACGAUGCGGGGGAGGAGGAAGACGACGACGUCGGUGUAUCAGAUCGACGGUCGUUGUACUGGAAAAGGAGGAGAUACUACGGCCCUGUUCGUUUGCUCACCCAUGUGAUCCAUCUGGGUGAAGAUGUAAAUUGAUGUUCGUUUUGUGCAUUAUAAUGCUACAUCCAAAUGGAUCACCCAGCUGAAUUUUUAAAAAUUCAUCUCAAAUACUCACCCAAAUGAAGGUGAGUCUUGAUGAUGCAUCUGGAUGCAGAUACAUCUAGUUCAGUCCAAAAUAAUAAAUGAUAAAAAUGACCUUUUAAAAUCAAAAUAUUAACAACACCCAGAUGAAACAUCUGGAUAAGACAUCUAGACGAACCAUCUAGAUGCAUCUUCCAGAUGUACAAACGAACAGGGCCUACAUUUCCUACGAUGCAUUGUCGGCGAACAGAGUCCCCCGUCCUCCGAGAUCUGGAAGGUCUUACUACACUCACAACUGCUUCCAGUUCAUACCUACACUCGAGGCUGCUCGUCCAUCACUCGUUGCCGGAGGUAGAACAAAAGAUCUGCCGCUUUGUCCCUCCACUCGCAUUUUCGUAAUAUUGUGUACAACCCUAAUUUAAUUACGUUUAAUUAAGACCGGGGAUUAUUAUUACAGUGCUAUUUCAUGUAUUAAAAUUAUGGUAAUUACCAAGGUCACGUGGUUUUUGGGUUUGUAAUUUUGCUACUCAACUUGUAUUAUCUUUUUGUCGGUGAGUUUUAAAUAAAUUACUACUGUAUUAAUUUUUGUACUGUUUUAUGAACUUAAGUCACAUCUAUAUUAG